AGGACGAACGCUGGCGGCGCGCUUAACACAUGCAAGUCGAACGGGUGUCCUUCGGGGCAUCAGUGGCGGACGGGUGCGUAACACGUAAGCGACCUGCCUUCAGGUGGGGGAUAACCCCGGGAAACCGGGGCUAAUACCGCAUGUGCUCUUGGGGCUGCAUGGCUUUGAGAGGAAAGCUCCCUUAAAGGAGCGCUUGAAGAGGGGCUUGCGGCGUAUCAGCUAGUUGGCGAGGUAACGGCUCACCAAGGCAAUGACGCGUAGGGGGUCUGAGAGGACGGCCCCCCACAUUGGGACUGAGAUACGGCCCAGACUCCUACGGGAGGCAGCAGUGGGAAUCUUGCGCAAUGGCCGAAAGGCUGACGCAGCGACGCCGACGUGCGGAGGAAGGCCUUCGGGUCGUAAACCGCUGUCGGAGGAAGAAGCGACCGGGGGAAUCCCGUGGUCUGACGGUACCUCCAAAGGAAGCACCGGCUAACUCCGUGUCAGCAGCCGC
Molecule: ribosomal RNA, 493 nt
Filed under: uncultured soil bacterium
Lineage: Bacteria
Description: bacterial SSU rRNA
Rfam family: Bacterial small subunit ribosomal RNA
Source: RNAcentral